Molecule: ribosomal RNA, 500 nt
Filed under: Ypthima baldus A SG-2012
Lineage: Eukaryota; Metazoa; Arthropoda; Insecta; Lepidoptera; Nymphalidae
Description: partial 16S ribosomal RNA
Source: RNAcentral
CCUGUUUUAUCAAAAACAUGUCUUUUUGAAAAUAAUUUAAAGUCUAAUCUGCCCACUGAUGAAAAUUAAAGGGCUGCAGUAUUUUGACUGUACAAAGGUAGCAUAAUCAUUAGUUUUUUAAUUGAAAACUUGUAUGAAAGAUUUAAUGAAAUAUAUACUGUCUCAAAUUUAUUAUUAAAAAUUUAUUUUUUAGUUAAAAAGCUAAAAUAUUUUUAAAAGACGAGAAGACCCUAUAGAGUUUUAUAUUUAUUUUUAUUAAAAAGUUAUAUAAAAAUUAAUAUUAAAAUAAAAUAAAAUAUUAUAUUGGGGUGAUAGAAAAAUUAAAUUAACUUUUUUUAAUAAAUUAAUAUUAAUAAAUAAGUAAAUGAUCCAUAAAUAAUGAUUAAAAGAAAAAAUUACCUUAGGGAUAACAGCGUAAUUUUUUUUUUUAGUUCGAAUAAGAAAAAAAGUUUGCGACCUCGAUGUUGGAUUAAGAUAAAAUUUAAAUGCAAAAGUUAAAA